UCUAACAUACGCUCUCCGUCCAUCAACAUUCAUCCCUACCAUUCUUUUGCCUAUAUGGCAUUCAUCCUUCCUCAUUACAUGCCCAUACCACGCUAACCUACUACUCCUUAUUUUCUCCGUUACUGGAGCUACUUUCAAACUUCCUCUUAUAUACUCAUUCUUAAUACGAUCCUUUCUCGUCACUCCACACAUCCAUCUCAGCAUUCUCAUUUCCGCUGCGUGCACUCUUCUUUCAUCCGCUACUUUCGUCGCCCAGCAUUCUGAUCCAUACAUUACAACAGGUCUCACGAUCGUUCUGUAUAUUUUCCCCUUAAGUUUAAGGGGCAUUCGUGGAUCGCAAGUUGUUCCAGAGACCUGUCGCCAUUUCAUCCAUCCCGCAUUUAUAUUAUUUUUCACGUCUCGGUCGAUGUUUCCGUCACUUUGGAUCAAUGACCCAAGGUACCGGAAGUCAGAGCAGACUGGCAAUAUGGGAAAAACUGGAUAGACCACCGAAAUCGCAGAACAUGUGCUCCGUUUUGGUUCUGCUUAUUUUGAGUCCCACACUUUCCAGCUUUUCUUGCCAUUUUCCCAGCCUGCUCUGGACCUCAAGUGCAUUUUCUACGACAAGAACAAUGUCGUCGGCAAACAGCAUACACCAAGGUGCCUCCUACUGUAUGUUCGAUGUCAGAGCAUCCAUAACCAGGAGGAACAAAUACGGGCUUAAGGCCGACCCCUGGUGUAAACCUACCGCCACAUUGAACUUGUCGGUUACUCCUGCUUCCGACCUGACGUAAGUACUGGCUCUGUCAUACAUCGCCUGAACAAGCCGCACAUACUUCUCUGGCAUUCCUUUCUCUCUCAUAGACCACCACAGAACCUUAC
Molecule: long non-coding RNA, 861 nt
Organism: Cydia splendana
Lineage: Eukaryota; Metazoa; Arthropoda; Insecta; Lepidoptera; Tortricidae
Exons: 2
Source: RefSeq, a predicted model, not a curated record